Molecule: ribosomal RNA, 432 nt
Filed under: uncultured Sphingomonadaceae bacterium
Lineage: Bacteria; Pseudomonadati; Pseudomonadota; Alphaproteobacteria; Sphingomonadales; Sphingomonadaceae
Description: bacterial SSU rRNA
Rfam family: Bacterial small subunit ribosomal RNA
Source: RNAcentral
CGGGGGGCAGCAGUGGGGAAUAUUGGACAAUGGGCGAAAGCCUGAUCCAGCAAUGCCGCGUGAGUGAUGAAGGCCUUAGGGUUGUAAAGCUCUUUUACCCGGGAAGAUAAUGACUGUACCGGGAGAAUAAGCCCCGGCUAACUCCGUGCCAGCAGCCGCGGUAAUACGGAGGGGGCUAGCGUUAUUCGGAAUUACUGGGCGUAAAGCGUACGUAGGCGGUGGUUCAAGUCAGAGGUGAAAGCCCGGAGCUCAACUCCGGAACUGCCUUUGAAACUAGAUCGCUAGAACAUCGGAGAGGUAAGUGGAAUUCCGAGUGUAGAGGUGAAAUUCGUAGAUAUUCGGAAGAACACCAGUGGCGAAGGCGGCUUACUGGACGAUUGUUGACGCUGAGGUACGAAAGCGUGGGGAGCAAACAGGAUUAGAUACCCCUGU